This 326-nucleotide ribosomal RNA is filed under the name uncultured eukaryote. Its description in RNAcentral is "partial 18S ribosomal RNA". It matches the Rfam family "Eukaryotic small subunit ribosomal RNA", at positions 1470 to 1796 of the family's 1831-position model. The record is from RNAcentral.
CCCUUAGAUGUUCUGGGCCGCACGCGCGCUACACUGACAGAGUACAAUAAGUGCUCCUGCGUCGAAAGACGUGGGUAAUCUGCCAAACUCUGUCGUGCUGGGGAUAGAUUAUUGCAAUUAUUAAUCUUCAACGAGGAAUGCCUAGUAAGCGCAAGUCAUCAGCUUGCGUUGAUUACGUCCCUGCCCUUUGUACACACCGCCCGUCGCUCCUACCGAUUGAAUGGUCCGGUGAAGCGUUCGGACCGUGGCCUUUGGACGGUUCGCCGUCUGUUGGCUGCGGGAAGUUCGUUAAACCUUAUCAUUUAGAGGAAGGAGAAGUCGUAACA